CCUACGGGUGGCAGCAGUGGGGAAUAUUGGACAAUGGGGGCAACCCUGAUCCAGCCAUGCCGCGUGUGUGAAGAAGGCCCUCGGGUUGUAAAGCACUUUCAGUGAGGAAGAACGCCUGGUGGUUAAUACCCAUCAGGAAAGACAUCACUCACAGAAGAAGCACCGGCUAACUCCGUGCCAGCAGCCGCGGUAAUACGGAGGGUGCGAGCGUUAAUCGGAAUUACUGGGCGUAAAGCGCGCGUAGGUGGCUUGAUAAGCCGGUUGUGAAAGCCCCGGGCUCAACCUGGGAACGGCAUCCGGAACUGUCAAGCUAGAGUGCAGGAGAGGAAGGUAGAAUUCCCGGUGUAGCGGUGAAAUGCGUAGAGAUCGGGAGGAAUACCAGUGGCGAAGGCGGCCUUCUGGACUGACACUGACACUGAGGUGCGAAAGCGUGGGUAGCAAACAGGAUUAGACACCCCGGUAGUC
Molecule: ribosomal RNA, 465 nt
Filed under: Vreelandella stevensii
Lineage: Bacteria; Pseudomonadati; Pseudomonadota; Gammaproteobacteria; Oceanospirillales; Halomonadaceae
Description: partial 16S ribosomal RNA
Rfam family: Bacterial small subunit ribosomal RNA
Source: RNAcentral